GACAGAGGGUGCAAACGUUGUUCGGAAUUACUGGGCGUAAAGGGUGCGUAGGUGGCGUCGUAAGUCGGGUGUGAAAUUUCGGAGCUCAACUCCGAAACUGCAUUCGAUACUGCGGUGCUUGAGGACUGGAGAGGAGACUGGAAUUUACGGUGUAGCAGUGAAAUGCGUAGAGAUCGUAAGGAAGACCAGUGGCGAAGGCGGGUCUCUGGACAGUUCCUGACACUGAGGCACGAAGGCCAGGGGAGCAAACGGG
This 253-nucleotide ribosomal RNA is filed under the name uncultured bacterium. Its description in RNAcentral is "partial 16S ribosomal RNA". It matches the Rfam family "Bacterial small subunit ribosomal RNA", at positions 524 to 776 of the family's 1533-position model. The record is from RNAcentral.